RNAcentral lists this ribosomal RNA (240 nucleotides) under uncultured Lactobacillus sp. RNAcentral describes it as "partial 16S ribosomal RNA". It matches the Rfam family "Bacterial small subunit ribosomal RNA", at positions 122 to 354 of the family's 1533-position model. The record is from RNAcentral. Lineage: Bacteria; Bacillati; Bacillota; Bacilli; Lactobacillales; Lactobacillaceae.
UAACCUGCCAAAGAGAUCGGGAUAACACCUGGAAACAGAUGCUAAUACCGGAUAACAACAGAUGAUGCCUAUCAACUGUUUAAAAGAUGGUUCUGCUAUCACUCUUGGAUGGACCUGCGGUGCAUUAGCUAGUUGGUAGGGUAACGGCCUACCAAGGCGAUGAUGCAUAGCCGAGUUGAGAGACUGAUCGGCCACAUUGGGACUGAGACACGGCCCAAACUCCUACGGGAGACAGCAGGC